UAAUAUACAAUGUGAAAACUAAAGGAAAAAUUCGAAUAUCGUGUUAUGUGCAGUGUUUAGUAACCCAUAUUAUCAAACCAAACCAAUUAGCAAUUUAAUCAUUAUGCCACAUCCUAGAUUAUCCGAUGAACAAGAAGAAAUUAUACGAGAAGAGCGCCGCUUUAGUAUUCAACGAGGAAGGGCAUUAAUUCGUGCUUCUCAAACACAAGAGCACAGAGGACAGCCUUAGUGGUAAAGUAAAAUUGUUAUUAUUGGUCCCGCCAACAGAGCCAUUGUGUUUCCUACUUUAUGGCGAUACACUAGAAAUAUGACAUUUUCUAGCGAACACUUAAAAAUACAAUGUCUGCUUCCAAGUGACUUCAUUUGGGGCUGAAAUUAUCGAAGAACACGAUAUAAUCCAACAUUUAAGGUAAUUUACGUUAAAAAAAAAUUGUUUGUAAGAUCCAAGAUCUGCAAUUGUGAUCAGAGCGGAUAAAAGACCUGCAGAACACAUGAACGCACAUUUAAUGAUCCAACAAUCGAUGAAGUGGAAAUGUUUAUUGUUGGUGACGUUCACAUGACGCGUUUCAAUACCCGCUGAUGUUCUGGCAAGGUGACGAUCAAUAUAACUUUAAUAUCAAAAUGAAAAAUUUAUUAAAUGGUUAGGAAACUACCAAGAAGGUUAGGUCGAUGAAUUACUACGCAUACCGUUUGCUGAUUCGUAAAAAUUUUGACAAUUAUUACUUCAACAAUGUUGCGUUGACAUGUCGAAACAAUACGUAGCACCUUAAUUUUGUUUAGUUGAAUCAAAGUAAAUUGCGUUUGGAAGUGUAUAUUCAAUGUUUGUCGAAUGACUAUUUUACCGGCGAAAUACACAGGUAUUUUAAACUCCUUGGAUGUGCCGGGUUAAUGCUUAGAAAUUUAAACCAACCAAAACUGUGCAGUGGAAAGCGUUUGUUGAUAAGAAAACUGAUGACCGAUGUGAUUCAUUCGUCAAUACUUAAAGAAAUUUACAGAUGAGGAAAAUCUUAUUCCAAGGAUCCCGAUUCGUCUUGCCUUCGCCAUGACCAAUCCUUGACUAUUUGUGGCCUUAAUCUAAAAAAUUUAUGUUUUCACCAAAAAACAAAUGUCGUUUACAAAGGUGCUAAAAUGAAAAUUUCGUUUAACUUUUAAGAAAUGUUAAGAAAUAUUAAAAGCCGUCAGGUGACGAAACGAG
Drosophila willistoni is the source of this 1195-nucleotide long non-coding RNA. RefSeq lists it as uncharacterized. The record is from RefSeq and is a predicted model, not a curated record. Lineage: Eukaryota; Metazoa; Arthropoda; Insecta; Diptera; Drosophilidae. The transcript is spliced from 2 exons.